RNAcentral lists this ribosomal RNA (164 nucleotides) under Rectipilus sp. Its description in RNAcentral is "partial large subunit ribosomal RNA". Lineage: Eukaryota; Fungi; Basidiomycota; Agaricomycetes; Agaricales; Porotheleaceae. The record is from RNAcentral.
GCUUGAAGUUAGUCGCAUUGGCUAGAGAUCAACUUGGCUUUUGCUUGGUGUAUUCUCUAGUUAAUGGGUCAACAUCAGUUUUGACUAUUGGAUAAGAGUUAAAGGGAUGUGGCUCCUUUAGGAGUGUUAUAACCUUUAGCUGUAUACAGUGGUUGGGACUGAGG